RNAcentral lists this ribosomal RNA (601 nucleotides) under uncultured bacterium. Its description in RNAcentral is "bacterial SSU rRNA". It matches the Rfam family "Bacterial small subunit ribosomal RNA", at positions 36 to 672 of the family's 1533-position model. The record is from RNAcentral.
CUGGCGGCGCGCCUACACAUGCAAGUCGAACGAGAAAGUCCGCAAGGAUGAGUAAAGUGGCGUACGGGUGAGUAACACGUGGAUAACCUGCCCUUUAGUGGGGAAUACCGCUGGGAAACCGGCGACAAUACCGCAUAAGCUCGAGAGAGGAAAGCAGCAAUGCGCUGAAGGAGGGGUCCGCGGCCGAUUAGCUAGUUGGCAGGGUAAAAGCCUACCAAGGCUGUGAUCGGUAGCCGGCCUGAGAGGGCACACGGCCACACUGGCACUGAAACACGGGCCAGACUCCUACGGGAGGCAGCAGUGGGGAAUCUUGCACAAUGGGGGAAACCCUGAUGCAGCGACGCCGCGUGAGCGAUGAAGCCCUUCGGGGUGUAAAGCUCUUUCGGCAGGGACGAUUAUGACGGUACCUGCAGAAGCAGCUGCGGCUAACUACGUGCCAGCAGCCGCGGUAAUACGUAGGCAGCAAGCGUUGUUCGGAGUUACUGGGCGUAAAGGGUGCGUAGGCGGCUUCUUAAGUCUGGUGUGAAAUCUCCCGGCUCAACUGGGAGGGUGCGCCGGAUACUGAGGGGCUAGAGUGUGGGAGAGGAAAGUGGAAUUCCUG